UCGGUAUGUAAAGCUCUAUCAGCAGGGAAGAAAAUGACGGUACCUGACUAAGAAGCACCGGCUAAAUACGUGCCAGCAGCCGCGGUAAUACGUAUGGUGCAAGCGUUAUCCGGAUUUACUGGGUGUAAAGGGAGCGUAGACGGCUGUGUAAGUCUGAAGUGAAAGCCCGGGGCUCAACCCCGGGACUGCUUUGGAAACUAUGCAGCUAGAGUGUCGGAGAGGUAAGUGGAAUUCCCAGUGUAGCGGUGAAAUGCGUAGAUAUUGGGAGGAACACCAGUGGCGAAGGCGGCUUACUGGACGAUGACUGACGUUGAGGCUCGAAAGCGUGGGGAGCAAACAGGAUUAGAUACCCUGGUAGUCCACGCCGUAAACGAUGACUACUAGGUGUCGGGGAGCAAAGCUCUUCGGUGCCGCAGCAAACGCAAUAAGUAGUCCACCUGGGGAGUACGUUCGCAAGAAUGCAACUCAAAUGAAUUGACG
RNAcentral lists this ribosomal RNA (480 nucleotides) under uncultured Bacillota bacterium. RNAcentral describes it as "bacterial SSU rRNA". It matches the Rfam family "Bacterial small subunit ribosomal RNA", at positions 418 to 915 of the family's 1533-position model. The record is from RNAcentral. Lineage: Bacteria; Bacillati; Bacillota.